CCCUAAACGCGUUAGGGAUGGGAGUGGCAUCCUUUUGCGGGAAACCAAAAACUACCAGACUUACCUGAAACUCCUCCCGCAAAAGAUACAGCGGACAGCCCGACCCAGA
This 109-nucleotide small RNA is filed under the name Flavobacterium cutihirudinis. RNAcentral describes it as "Flavo-1 RNA". It matches the Rfam family "Flavo-1 RNA". The record is from RNAcentral. Lineage: Bacteria; Pseudomonadati; Bacteroidota; Flavobacteriia; Flavobacteriales; Flavobacteriaceae.